Molecule: small RNA, 1370 nt
Filed under: Rattus norvegicus (Norway rat)
Lineage: Eukaryota; Metazoa; Chordata; Mammalia; Rodentia; Muridae
Description: uncharacterized LOC102547306
Source: RNAcentral
CAAGCAAUAGAUGUCUGCUCCAGACUCUGAGUUUCCUAUAAUAAAGAGAUUGGGUCUACUGUGUCUACCAGAGUAGCCGUCAUACAAGAGUCAACUCAUGGGAUUUGUAAAUGUAGCUAAUUUGUGUUUGGGCAUUCUGAUCACCUGAGAAAGGAGAAGAGAGAGAACACUGUCAGUGACCAAGGUCGCUGUGAAGAUGAAAGGAAAUCAUAUUCACUAAGCAUUGAGCUCAAGGUCUAGCAUGGAGCAAGCACCUACUAAAGUCAGCUGUGUAUCCCUGCAGACCAGAGGGAUGUCUUGAGGCAGUGUGUGGACCGGGGAACUAAGGGCCUUUUGGAAAACAUCUGGAGACUGCAUAUCCAGCUUCAAACAUCUCAAAUCAAGCUGCCAACAUUCUCGUCUCCCUUCAGCAAACUCCAGACCACACCUGCAGAGGCUCUUAGAGCCAUUGUGUCUGAGGAAGCCUGCCUCUCUGAGGAGACUACUUUGAAAAUGGAAAUGGUGGGUUCCAGGAGACUCCAAGGAGAGGGGGUCCUCCACCUACCUUCCAUAAACCUCUUUCUACUAACCAGUUGCCUUCCACUGCGGCACCGGAAACUCUGGCCUUAUCGUGCCUAAUUAAAGCUGAUGUCUCCUUCAGACUUCAAUGUGUCAGGUCUCUGCCAGUAGAGAAGCUGGAUUCCCCACUCUCUGGGCCCUUGGUCCAUAACGUAUAAGCAGUCUGUGGUCACCGAACCCACGGGGCUCUAGAGGUCACUCAAGUUGACAGAGGGAUGGCGGAUGAGAGAGUCUGUGAGCAGUUGUCAAAACUGCCAACAGCCUUUGAUCUUUGUCAAUCUGGUUAAGAUGCAUUCUGCCUUUGGGGAGCUAGAAAUGUGGUCAGUUGGUAGAGUGCUUGCCUCACACAUGCAGAGCCCCACACCAGAUUCCCAGCACUGACUAAACAAGGUAUGCUUGCACGCUCUAGAGGGGUGGGCAAGAUCAAGAAUUCUAGGUCAUUCCCAGUUGUGUACCAGGUUCAAGACCAGCCUGGGCUACCCAUGAGGUGUCUGACAAACCUGCUUUCUUUGCUUCUUGACUGGGUUAUGCCGGUCCCCAGAAAGUCUUGAGGAAUCCCUGUCCUGAUAGUUACCAGGUCUGGGCAAGCUCCGAGACUUCCUAGUUCCUUCUCAGGAGGUUCUGGUAGAGCCCCAUGACUUUGCUGAAGCCCAAGGUCCGGAUCUGUAUGUAAGGACAGUCACAUCUAGCUCACAGUGUCCGUGGGGGCACUCAGAGUUAGCCCUCAAUAAAAGGAAACCAUUGCUGUUAAUAGUUAUGAAUAGUGGAAAUGGACUUAUGACUUAAUAAAGACAGCAUGCUGGUAGACAAAA